Molecule: long non-coding RNA, 7089 nt
Organism: Apis cerana (Asiatic honeybee)
Lineage: Eukaryota; Metazoa; Arthropoda; Insecta; Hymenoptera; Apidae
Source: RefSeq, a predicted model, not a curated record
AACAUCUUCGCGACCCUCCUCUCAGCAAACCUACUCUGUCCCCUGACUUCGAGAAGUCUUUAAUCAAAUUGCAUAACGUUACGCGAGAAGCAAUCUUCUCUUGUUCCCUUCUGCUAUUCAUUUCCGAAUAAUCUUGCGAAAUUAAUUUUACGAAAGUAAAUGAUGGCUUUAUAUAUAUAUAUAUAUUAACGAUCGAUGAAGAUUUCCAAUCUUUCUCUCGAUUAUUCUUUAAAGCCGACGAUGUGUAAUAAAUAUUUUCGACAUAAGCGAAUUUAUUAAUACGUACAAAAUGGAAAACGAUUAAUUUUAAUCCUUAUGGAGAUGUGCUGAUGAUAUAUUCAAUUUUUUAUUCCUUGAUAACGAAAUAAAAGGAUACAAACAAGGCGAUCGGAUAUAUAUUGAAAAUAUAUAAUCUUAAUUUCUUUUCAUUCAAAAAUACGGGUCCCAAUUAUAACCGAAUGAAAAAUGUGAAAAUGAAAAAUAGUACGAUAUUACGAUAAUUACAAUGAUUCGUUUGUAACGAUGGAAUAAAAACGUUGAUACAACAUACACGUGUAAAUGUUCUCGAGAACGAUUUCAUUCGAGAACAAUUAGCGGGCCUCUCGAAGGUCGUGCCGAAUCGAUGGGCAGAAGAUUUACAGUUACGGAUGACGCAGUUCUCCGUUGGCAAGAGACGGAUUAACUCGUAAUUCCGCGUUAAACGGCGUCUUCGUUUCCGCGUAAAACGUUUCCACCGCGCUCUUUAUUUGGAUCGUCGUCCGCGUGAUCAUCGCCGACCGAAGGCUCGUCCACACCGACGUCGUAAAAAAGAAUUAAAAAAAAAUUCUUCCAAGAUCGACUCCAACUCCGUUGGAAAUGAGUGCAAAAAAUAAUCGAACGAGAGGAAGAACACUCGUAAAUCGGGCUUUAGCUGCGUUUCAUCGGGGGCACAGCGGGGCAUCUCUCUUCUCUCCGCCACGGCACGUCGUAGGAAGGUUCCACGGCGACCGACGGCGGGUGUCGGUGGCACGGAGCGCUCGACGUCGACGUCGUACAAGGACAAGGCCACGUGGUCACGGGCGGCUGGGACGGACACGUAUACAGACAUAUCGGCAACCAGUCAUGCACCGCCACCACCACCACCACCACCAACGCGACUAUAAUCGGCAUCGUUUACCAUCGCUGACCCGCUACCAUCCGUGCGUCGAUUCUGAAACCAAUCGAAAUCCUGUCCUCUUGGGAUACGUGCGGUGAGCCGGGCUUGUCCUUUCUGGGGAGGGAGGGGGAAAUUAACCUCAAUUCUGGGGAAUUGGUGGCGUUUUGUCGCGGUGGGUCCCAGAUAUGCGAUGCGCCCCCCCCUUCUUCGGAAUUUGGAUGGAGCAAUGUUGCCGAUCAUUGCGAGAAUUGGGAAUUUCGUGAUUAUAUAAUUGUGAUUUCUUUCUUUUUUUUUUUUUUUUUAGGGGAAAUUAAUCUCAGUUUUGGCGAGAAAUUGGAUUUGAACGAUUCGUGGCCAAUCGUUCUUUUUGUAAAUACAGCGACGUGCAUUUAGGUAAGAUGAUAUAACGAGCUAGUGUCUUUUUAUUCUAGGGGAAAUUAGACUCUGCUAAAAUCAAAUUUUACAAUGCGAACGUAUGAAUGUUAAAAAAAAUCACUCGUUCCAAUCAUUUUCAACUGGUGUUAUUAUUAUUAUUAUUAUUAACUCGUGUAAUUUGAUCCGUCUAGUGAAACGUGAAUCGAGAUUUCAUUACACGGAUCGUAAAUAUUGUGCGUUUAUUAGAAGACGGAAUUGGAAUGAAAAAAAAAAAAGAAAAGACUCGUCUCUUAGCUAAUUGCAAUUACUUUUGAACUUUGCUUUUAUUAUUAACGCGUUAUAAUACAUCGAAACGAUCUAUGAUUUUCACAGAAAUAGUUCGAGCAAGGUGGCCGGUCGUAAUAAAAAUACUUUCGACUUUGUUACCGAAUUAUCGUCUCACCUUGUCUGAUCUUUAUCGACCUAUUUCACUUACGGUUGAAUUGCGCGGCCAUCGCGUCGCGCUUCGAAAUAUGUGUCACGUGGUGUCGUAGAAAAAAAAAAAAAAAGAGAGAGAAAAGAAAAGGGCGGUAAAAAUAAAUGCGAACCACCGAUGGAACAAGAUUUUCAACAACGUAGAAUAAUAGUGUAUAUAGUGUAUAUAUAUGAACGUUCCAUACGUAAUUCCAACGUACCGAGCUAUAAUAAAACAUCCAUAAAUAUAUAACCGCGACCAAGUAAUCGAUACUAUCCCACUGCAACAUAUUGUGCCACGAUCUUGUACGUAUACCAUUUAAUUAUAUGCCAAACAAUAGGAAGCACCAACUCAUCCAUCCCCGUUCCAUUUCGCGCUUUAAAACGUUUCAUCAUUCUCGAUCUUGUCAUUCCGAUUCUUUAAUAGCUUCAGAGCUAACCUUUUAAGUAGGAAUUCGUCUUUUCCACGCUCCCCUUUAAUCACUUUAUCUCUCGUUACUUUUUCCAGAAUUUCUUUCGAAACUUCUCCCUGCAUUUUCUUCGCUCUGAUGACAAACAAUUAUUCUUCGUUUCCUCUAUAAUUUAUUCAAUUCCAAUUCUUCGAUCGACGUCGUUCAUUCAUCUAACCAUCAAAUCCUCGCAGAUCUCACUCCCUCUAUCGAAUCAAAUUCAACUCGACUUUCCAACCAACAAUCACGAAGUAUCGACGAACCGUAUCACCGCGUGUUAAAGUGUCUCGUCUCUCGCACCUAUUCCGCUCAAGGACACGGAGCGGAGAGAUCAUACCAUCGCGACCUUGGAGGGACGACGCACGUGUUCUCUCGUACGACGCCUCAUGCAGGCCUUGAAAUUUGUACGGAUCGACAAGUUUCGGCGUGCCCCACGGUCAUCUCAGAUAUGCACGUAGAGAGGAUAAUCUGAUAAUCUCUUAGGGGAGCGACCAACAAUGACAAUUGCAUCACUGUAUACGUGCAUAUCCUCGUGCAUUAGUGGAUUUUUGCUUAGACACAUUAAUUUUUUUUUUCUUUUCCUUUGAGAAAUCUUGCGACUAAAUUUUUUAGGUUAUAAUUAUAUCUCGUGAAAUUUUCUUUACUUUUUCGAUUCCUCGGAGAGAAGAAGUAUUUUUGUAAGUAGUCUGAAAACUUUUGAAUUAGAAACUAGAUAGGGAUCUUGGUAGGCAGAACUUUUUGAGGUAUUAUCGUUUACAACGUGAAUUUAAGAAAGGAAAAUAAAGAAGCGUGUUGUAUUUCGGGAAAGAUUGCGGUCCAGAAAUAAAAACGUGUUGAGGCUUUUUAUCAAUUUCGAUGAUUUAUUGGCGAGAUCGUGGAGAUCGCGUGUCAUGGAAAGAUAAUGAUUAUCUUUCUUUUGGAUUUUAUGACAUCGUAACAUCGUGCAACGAUGAUUAUUAUUGAUUGUAUUGUUGAAUUUUAUAUUUUUGAAGAAUUUUGGAAAAGCUGUUCGAUCGUACGUUUCGCUUUGUUUGAGCAAGAUUGUAUUAAUUGUACAAGAUACGAUGAAAUUUUAGAUAAACGUGCGAGGAAACGUGUUUUUGUUCAUAUUUUAUAUUAAUUGUGUUUAAUUACAUAUUAAAAAAAAAAAAAAGAAAAAAGAUUUUCGAAUCAUUAUCGUUGUUGCAUUCUGUUCUUUUUUUAAACGUUCAAAUAUUAACAUAUCGAUAUUAUACUUCUCUUCAUCUCUUGAUUUGACUAAUUAGUCGUAAGAUCUUUCUUCGUUGCACAAGGUGUCAAGACGUACGAUAUUAAUUUUAUACUGAAAAAACAUGGAAGGAAUAUUAUUCAUUGAAUAUUUGAAUAGUAGAAAAUGUAUCUCGUUAAAUACGCAGCAAUAACACGAGUUACAUUGAAACUCUUUAUGAGUCUAAAGUAACAUAUAACAUAAGAAAAAUAAAUAUUAUUCAGUAAAUUAUCAGGAUAUUAACGGUUGAAAUAAUAUUUCUUCGUAUAUUUCUGUUAUUUUUAUAUAUAUAUAAUCUUCUUUGUAUUUCUAUUAUAAGUUAGAAUAGCUAGCGUUAAUAAUUUUUAAUGGAACGUGUUAAUAAUAUCGUACUAAAAAUUUAAUUUCAUAUGUGUGUCAUUCUAGAAAAACGAAACGUAAAUUCAAGGAUUCCUAUCGAGAUUCCAAAUAUAAAUUUACCUUUACCAUUAUUACACCCCGAUAAUUCCAAGGAUUCCAAAUUCUUCGAACCAAUAUAAUUUCCUCAUCAUCGUUUCUCCGAAUAUUUCCAAAAAAAAGAAAAAAAAAAUUUAGUUCGAAAAUAAUAGACUUUUAAAAAAAUUCGAAACAAGAAAUCAAACGAUCCCAUUUCUCUCGAUCCCUACUUUCUAAUUUUCUAAAUCUUUUUAAUCCCAAUUUCAAUUUUCUACAAUUAUCGAAUAUUUCAUCGUUAUAUCACCAUUUUGUAAAUAAUAAAGAAAUCGAGUUUUUAAAUAUUUUCAGAGAAUAAACGCAGAAAUUCAACUAUUCCUAUUAAAUCCAAAUAUAAACCCAACCUUUACCGUUAUUACACUCCAAUAAUCCCAAGGACUCCCAACCUCUGUAUCCCAAUAAUUACCUCGUCGAUAAACUGCAGACAUUCAUGCAUUUAUUAUACUUAAAAAUAUACACAACAGUAUAGAAAAUACGUAAAAAAAUGAUAUUCUCGUAUACAAAUCGUAUGUACAAAUUCUCAAUUCCUCGAUCUAAAAAUAUAAAAUUCUUCGUGAUCCACCUUCUUUAAAAAAAAAAGAAAAGAGAAAGAAAAAGAGCGCAAAAAUUAAACAACUCUGCAUCCCGUCUCUGCGAGAUCCAAUUUCUCGAAAAUCCAAUUAAAAAAAGAAGAGAGAAAAGAAGAGAAAUUCCGAAAAGAAAGGAAAGAAAGCAAAUCACGAAAACGUAAAUGUCUGGGAGAAUAUGGCGAGAGAUCGGUUCGGGACGGCUGGUUUCCAUCGUUGAUCGAGGCUCCGCCACGCUCGCUUUAACCUUUUCAACGUGCGAUCACUGACGUGUCCGCCGAUUAUAUAAAACGGGUCUGCCCUUGUCCCCUCUCGGAAUGAUCGAUUGGUCUCGCGUUUUCUGGCCGCGGAUUACCGCGACCGCCUCUGAACGGAUUCCUCGGUCGCGAAGAAGGUCAUCUUCCUUCGACGCGAUGCCAUCCUCAAGUCAUUGGACACUUGACUUACUUUUAAGAAAUAAAAAAAGAAAGAAGGAAAGAUCGCAGGAUGGAUCGGAUGAUCGAUGCAAUUACUAUUAUUAUUAUUAUUAUUUAGGAGGAGAAAAUUACAAAUCGCUUCACUUUUACGAUGGAUAAUUUAUCUUUUUCAACAUCUCUUUGAAUCUGUCUUACAUAGAAAUAUAUUUUCGUGUAAUUAUAUAAAAUAUGAGAGAAGAGGGGAGAGGUUAUUCGAAGGCUACUACUCGACUGUACUCGCUAUAAAAAGCGACCGUGUUCUCAAAAUUGAGAAAUCAAACGGUAUUUUCAAUUGGUAAUUAAUAGACAUACUAUUAUUCUAUCAAUUAAAAAAAAAAGAAGAGAAAAUAUCCGGAUGUUUUAAAAUUUUUCUGCCAAUUUUAUUUCCUUAAAAUUCAACUCAGAACUCUUACUUUACGAAUGAAUCACGAUCGUGUAACAUCAUGGAUUUAUCGCGGAAAUAAAUAAUUCGCAGAGAAGAGAAUGAAGAAGAGGAAGAAGAAGAAAAAAACGAAGUAAAGCAAACCGGCACGAAACAGCCUUUGAAUAUAUAUAUAUCAUUAAUCUGUCGAGGAAUCAAAGAAGGUGAGGAAUCGAAGAAAGCGGAAGCUGAAAGAGAUGGAGCGAAAAGGACGAUGGCGGGGGAGGGGAAGAGUUACGCGCGGAUCACCGGCAAUAAUAAACGCGGCGUCAGCAGCGAUUAUACAUUUCCCCGAGGCUCGAAAAUCGGGAAUUUUCGAAGCGUCCGCUCGUGGAGGCGCUCGAGGCUCAAGGUCGGGAUGGCCGACAGAUAAAGUUUCCUCGAAGCGGCACUGUACGAUCAAAACGAUCGUGACGUUGCUCGAGGUUAAGAUCUGUCCACGCUCUGGAUCCCGUACUUGAACUCGUCGUCCGCUGAAUCACGCCGAUAUCGAGGCGUAUACGAGCCAAGAUAACGAGAUACUCGUAUACGCGAGCGCGUGACACCUACGCAAAAGCUAACAAAAAAUAAAGAAGAAGAAGAAGAAGAAGAAGAAGAAAGAGAGAGAGAGAAAAAAAAGAAGAAUUACAUUAUUCCGGAUCGUGAAUAAUUUCCAAGCUGGCAUUGUUUUCGUCUGGUUUCGCUUAUAUAUAAUCACACACCAGCUGUGGUGUUUCGUUAUGGAUUUAAUCGAAUUUCGUUUCCUUCGAGCGCGAGGGAAGAGAGGAGAAGGAAGAAGAGAGCUUUACCGAAUCAAGGUCUAAUUCUACGAAAUCGACGUAUCGAGGUUGACGUUGCUCUUUCAUCCACUUUGUAAACAACGCCACGAAUGUUUUAAUAUAUUUUUAACAAUCGUUUUUUCCAUCGUUGAAAAAAAAAAAAAGAAAAAGAAAAGAAAAGAAGGAAAAAAUGAAAAUUGGAUGGAACGGAAUCGGUAAUGCUCGAUUGUUUCCCGAAUAACAUUGCGUAUGCUUAACGUUAUUUCUCUUUUUUAACAAACUAUCGACCAAAUCGUACCGCCUCGAUGAAUAUAUCACGAACGAGUCGUCUUUAUUUCUUUGUGCGCAGUGAAAUUUAAACUAUCGAACUAAGGAAAGGAAUAAAAGUUAUUUAUUGUUUAAUCAACGUGUAUAUCUCGCCGUAAGAAAAAUAUUUUACAAAACCGAAGGAAAGAAACUAUUAUAGAACGUACGGUUUUAUUUUUACAAAGUAAAGGAGAAACAAGUAAUGUGUAUAAAAUAUAAAUAUGAAUAUCGAGGAAAUUUAUUUAAAAGAUUGCACACUGUGUAUCCAAUUCGUAAUUACAUUAUCUUUCAAAUUUCCAGUUUGAAAGAGUUCAUUCUACUUACGAGGAGCGCUGCAAAGAUUUCAAAUUUCUAAUAUUUCCUUUCUUCAAAUAUAAUAAUUCUCCGUGUGUGUAUACGCGUGAAUAAACAUAUCUCCGCAUUUCUACAAAUAAACAAUCCUAAAUAUACCGAA